Molecule: long non-coding RNA, 3670 nt
Organism: Equus caballus (horse)
Lineage: Eukaryota; Metazoa; Chordata; Mammalia; Perissodactyla; Equidae
Source: Ensembl
AUAAAAAUGAAAUUUAAAGAAAUAACCUUUCUCUUAGACGUAAACAUGGUUGUAUCAGAUAUACGUAUAAUACUGAGGAUGUCUCCAAGAACUCAGAAUAAUAAAAAAAGAUGGGAAAUGGAAAAGAAAAUACAUAAAUCCAUCCGGGAGGAAUAACCACAAAGAAAGAGUGGAGAAAAUGGGCAUGAGGAAUUCCUUCCAGAGCUAAUGCUGGAACAUUUGCCAUAACUGAGGCCCGAGCUCCCGGAUCCAGAGUCCCUGCCGAGUGCCCUGUGACAGCAACAAUGACUUUAUUAUGACUACUGGGACAUUUGGGCACCAGGACACAAAGAUCCCACAAGCUCCAGGAGAGCAGAGUCGAUGGCACACGAGGUGCGGAGGGUGGUCACACGGGCUCCGGUCCAGACCAUCCGUCCUGGUUUUUCAAUUCUCCUGUGCAUCUCCCUGGCUUGGGCGGCUCCUUGUGACUGUGCCCGAGGCCUCUGUCACAGGCCUGCCAUCACCUGAGAUGGGACAGCCCCCCCUUGAGGAAAGCUGGGGUUAUAAGGAGGCUCGCUCCUGAUUAUUUUCACCUGGAUCAAGUGCCUAAAAUCAGGGGUUCAGGUGAGUGGAUGGCAGGUAAGCCUGUGGAUCAGGGUUCGUGAUGAGAACAGGUGGGGUCGGGGAGAAGGCCCACUGGUCUCCUCUCGGCUCUGAACCUCGCUGUGGGCGGGGAUGACCAGGGUUGGCAGAGGGUUGGGUGGCCAGUGUCUUGAAGGUCCCCGUAAGCUCUAAACACCAUGGCUCCAAAGUGGAGGUGCACACAGAGGGGCAUUUAAAAUUCUGUGUGUGCAGAAAAACAGAUAGGCGUGUGCACAUACACAUGAAGCACACAGCGGGAUGGGUUCUCACAAAGGGACCCUGCAAACGCUUCUGCUUUGAUACCUAAAACUUUUCUAUCUAAGUUUGUUAAAGGACACACUUUUUCAAGGUAAAACUAUGACUCAUAGAAACAUAAAAGGAACCUGUGUCAAGGACGUCAUGUAACAUGUUAAUUAACGAGGGAACCGUGAGACGUGACAGCAGCACAGAGUGAAGCCGGCGAGGCCAUGUGCUCAGGCCUUCAGGAGCGCGAGCUGAGCCGCCACAGGCCACAGAAGGUGCUGGUGUGGCAGGCAUAGUGUCUGCCGGGCUGACGGAUGGCCGCCACGGACGGCGGUGACACUGCUCAAGGACAGAGGCGGGACGGCCAGGUGGCUCCAGCCGGGCCUCCAGCCCCUUUUCGGCUCAUGUGAGUUUUUCACGAGUCACACGUUCUCUCUGAUCCAAGUACUAAGGAACCAGGGGCCAAAAAACAGGACAGUCUCGAGGGGCAGACAGCAGAGAGAAGCACUGAGAUUGCUUAAAACAAACCAAGCAGCGCCUGCAGUCGCGGGCUGCGUGGUCCCCGCCCUGCGGCGGGGCGGGCGUGGUGUGUGAGAGCCGCAGAGGCGCAGCUGCAGCCGUGUCCGUCUCCCCUCCCUGGGCCCCAAGCCCAGCCCCCGAGGCCACAUCUCCUUGUCUUCGCCCCCUGAGAGCCUCAGGCAACCGCGAGGGAUGUGUCCAAGCAAACGGGUGCGGCCCAGGACCAGCACUUCUAGAGAGCAGCCCCAAGCCGGGUCCACGGCCAGCACGCGGGGACGGUGAGCAGGAUGGGAAAGGCUGCGCCAUCGGACUGGGCGCAGGGAGGGGGCCUCCAGGACCACGUGGAUGGCUGGGGCGUGUCUCCUCCAAGCAGAAGGUGGGAAGGCGCCAGCCGCGAAGAGACGAAGAGAUGUGUGGGGCAGACAGAGGGCCUGCUGGCUCAUGGGGUCUGAGCUGGUCCUGGCCUGGACUUGGGCCCACAGACUCCAGCCUCCAGCCUCCAGCCAAGAAUGUCGACACCGCAUGGCUGCCCUGGAGAUUGUAGGGUUUGCCCAGCCCUCCUGACCAGCAUCUGUGGUGAUCCGUGGGAGUCAGCUGUGGGGAGGCCGUUUCUGCGUUCCAGGGUGGGGCAGGGUCCCCAUAUAAGCUGACGCUGGUCUCGCCACACCACUUCCCUCCCUGCAUGUCUCCCUUGCCCAUCCAGCUGCUCUGUCCCCACUCUGCUCCAGAUGGGGCAUCCUGUACCUGGGGAGGACCUUUCAUUUAGGCUUCCCAAGAGGAGCAGCUGCUGUUCCAACAGGUGUCGAGUCGAGGCCACCAAGAGACUCCAAGCAGAAUCGCUGCUAUGGGGGGCCCCCAGGCACCCCAACUCUGCCCCCGUGCCCCCGCUGGGAGCCCCCAGGCACCCCAACUCUGCCCCCGUGCCCCCGCUGGGAGCCCCCAGGCACCCCAACUCUGCCCCCGUGCCCCCGCUGGGAGCCCUCCUCUGACGCCCCAACUCUGCCCCCGUGCCCCCGCUGGGAGCCCCCAGGCACCCCAACUCUGCCCCCGUGCCCCCACUGGGAGCCCCCAGGCACCCCAACUCUGCCCCCGUGCCCCCGCUGGGAGCCCCCAGGCACCCCAACUCUGCCCCUCUGCCCCCUCUGGGAUCCCUCCUCUGACGCCCCAACUCUGCCCCCGUGCCCCCUCUGGGAUCCCUCCUCUGACGCCCCAACUCUGCCCCCGUGCCCCCUCUGGGAUCCCUCCUCUGACGCCCCAACUCUGCCCCCGUGCCCCCUCUGGGAUCCCUCCUCUGACGCCCCAACUCUGCCCCUCUGCCCCCUCUGGGAUCCCUCCUCUGACGCCCCAACUCUGCCCCUCUGCCCCCUCUGGGAUCCCUCCUCUGACGCCCCAACUCUGCCCCUGUGCCCCCUCUGGGAUCCCUCCUCUGACACCCCAACUCUGCUGCCAUCCCCCCUCUGUCCACCUGAGCACUAGUUAGGGACAGAGGUGGGGAGGGAGGGGGUGCUGCUGUGCUGUCACAUCCCCCUUCAAUAAGGGAAAUGUAUAAAAUUCUUCUUUUACUACUUAAAGAAAUCUAAUUCUAGCCCAUUAUUCAGAUGGAUAGAUUGAGUUGCAGGCCCUCUUGGGAUUUCUCAGUGACGCCCCGCAGACAGGGCCGUGGGGAGGAAUCCAGCUGCCAAAGCGUGAGCCAAAAUCCAUCUCCUAAAUCCAAUAAACCAAUGAGCCAAGUGCUGAGAGUGGGAAGACCUUGGUUCCCAGAGUUCCUGGAAUUUUCUAGAAUUAGUUAAAUGCAGAGGAGAAAGGGGUUUCCUGUGCCCAUGCCCUGUGUCUUUGUCAGAAUGUACUGACCCCUGGGCGAGGCUGAGAGAAUCAGAAUUGGGUGUAAAGGACCCUUAGGGAGCUUCCGGUUCAGCACCAUCAUUUUAUACUCCAAGAAUCAGGGGCUGCCCAGAUCCUGUGCUCACAGUUUAGGCUGGUCCCCUGUGAUACAUGGCGUUUGGGAAGGCUGACCCCAGGGGUGUCAUCCAGCAUGGCAUUCUCCCCUGCCAUCAGCAGCAGGUUCUGGGUGGAGAUGUGGCCUAUCCAGGUCUGGCCUCUGACACUGGGACAGGGACCCCCUCAAUCCCAUGGCCCAGGUGCUGUAGGAAACCCCGUCAUGAUGGCAAGUGGAACCAGCCUCAGGAUGAGAUAGAACAGAAAGACUUGAACAAAAGCAAGUGUUUGGUGGUGUCAUGGAGCUGCUGGAUCAAACCACCCCUGAAGCCUGUUCCUUUGGAUCUCUCAG